Molecule: ribosomal RNA, 1004 nt
Filed under: Agelas sventres
Lineage: Eukaryota; Metazoa; Porifera; Demospongiae; Agelasida; Agelasidae
Description: SSU rRNA
Rfam family: Eukaryotic small subunit ribosomal RNA
Source: RNAcentral
CAUGUCUAAGUAUAAAUGCUUCUAUACUGUGAAACUGCGAAUGGCUCAUUAAAUCAGUUAUAGUUUAUUUGAUGGUUCCUUACUACUUGGAUAACCGUAGUAAUUCUAGAGCUAAUACAUGCAGAAAGUCCCGACUUCUUGGAAGGGAUGUAUUUAUUAGAUCCAAAACCAGCGCGAGUUUCCUUCGGGGGCUCGGUUGCAUGGUGAUUCAUGAUAACUGCUCGAAUCGCAUGGCCUCGCGCCGGCGAUGAUCCAUUCAAAUUUCUGCCCUAUCAACUUUCGAUGGCAAGGUAGUGGCUUGCCAUGGUGACAACGGGUGACGGAGAAUUAGGGUUCGAUUCCGGAGAGGGAGCCUGAGAAACGGCUACCACAUCCAAGGAAGGCAGCAGGCGCGCAAAUUACCCAAUCCCGACUCGGGGAGGUAGUGACAAUAAAUAACAAUGCUGGGCUAUCGUAGUCUGGCAAUUGGAAUGAGUACAAUCUAAACCCCUUAACGAGGAACAAUUGGAGGGCAAGUCUGGUGCCAGCAGCCGCGGUAAUUCCAGCUCCAAUAGCGUAUAUUAAAGUUGUUGCAGUUAAAAAGCUCGUAGUUGGAUUUCGGGGCAGCCCGGCUGGUCCGUCGCAAGGCGAGUACUGGUCGGCCGCCCUUCCUCUCGAAAGCCCCGACUGCUCUUCACUGUAGUGGUCGGGGAGUUCGGGACGUUUACUUUGAAAAAAUUAGAGUGUUCAAGGCAGGCCAUCGCCUGAAUACAUUAGCAUGGAAUAAUGGAAGAGGACCUCGGUCCUAUUUUGUUGGUUUCUAGGGCCGAAGUAAUGAUUAAGAGGGACAGUUGGGGGCAUUCGUAUUUAAUUGUCAGAGGUGAAAUUCUCGGAUUUAUGAAAGACGAACAACUGCGAAAGCAUUUGCCAAGGAUGUUUUCAUUAAUCAAGAACGAAAGUUAGGGGUUCGAAGACGAUCAGAUACCGUCGUAGUCCUAACCAUAAACUAUGCCGACUAGGGAUCG